UGGGGAAUAUUGGACAAUGGGCGGAAGCCUGAUCCAGCAACGCCGCGUGAGGGAUGACGGCCUUCGGGUUGUAAACCUCUUUCAGCAGGGAAGAAGCGAAAGUGACGGUACCUGCAGAAGAAGCACCGGCUAACUACGUGCCAGCAGCCGCGGUAAUACGUAGGGUGCGAGCGUUGUCCGGAAUUAUUGGGCGUAAAGAGCUUGUAGGCGGUUUGUCGCGUCUGCCGUGAAAAUCCGAGGCUCAACCUCGGACUUGCGGUGGGUACGGGCAGACUAGAGUGUGGUAGGGGAGACUGGAAUUCCUGGUGUAGCGGUGAAAUGCGCAGAUAUCAGGAGGAACACCGAUGGCGAAGGCAGGUCUCUGGGCCACUACUGACGCUGAGAAGCGAAAGCAUGGGGAGCGAACA
This 407-nucleotide ribosomal RNA is filed under the name uncultured Phycicoccus sp. Its description in RNAcentral is "bacterial SSU rRNA". It matches the Rfam family "Bacterial small subunit ribosomal RNA", at positions 355 to 774 of the family's 1533-position model. Lineage: Bacteria; Bacillati; Actinomycetota; Actinomycetes; Micrococcales; Intrasporangiaceae. The record is from RNAcentral.